GACGAACGCUGGCGGCGUGCCUAAUACAUGCAAGUCGAGCGAAGUUUUUCUGGUGCUUGCACCGGAAAAACUUAGCGGCGAACGGGUGAGUAACACGUAAAGAACCUGCCUCAUAGACUGGGACAACUAUUGGAAACGAUAGCUAAUACCGGAUAAUAGCAUUAACUGCAUGGUUGAUGUUUAAAAGUUGGUUUUGCUAACACUAUGAGAUGGCUUUGCGGUGCAUUAGCUAGUUGGUGGGGUAAAGGCCUACCAAGGCGACGAUGCAUAGCCGACCUGAGGGGGUGAUCGGCCACACUGGGACUGAGACACGGCCCAGACUCCUACGGGAGGCAGCAGUAGGGAAUCUUCCGCAAUGGGCGAAAGCCUGACGGAGCAACGCCGCGUGAGUGAAGAAGGAUUUCGGUUCGUAAAGCUCUGUUGUUAGGGAAGAAUGAUUGUGUAGUAACUAUACACAGUAGAGACGGUACCUAACCAGAAAGCCACGGCUAACUACGUG
Molecule: ribosomal RNA, 499 nt
Filed under: uncultured bacterium
Lineage: Bacteria
Description: partial 16S ribosomal RNA
Rfam family: Bacterial small subunit ribosomal RNA
Source: RNAcentral